This is a small nuclear RNA of Dromiciops gliroides (monito del monte), 107 nucleotides long. The record is from RefSeq and is a predicted model, not a curated record. NCBI's taxonomy places the organism in Eukaryota, Metazoa, Chordata, Mammalia, Microbiotheria, Microbiotheriidae.
GUGCUCACCUCGGCAGCACAUAUACCAAAAUUGGAAUGAUACAGAGGAGAUUAGCAUGACCCCUGCGCAAGGAUGACACGCAAAUUCAUGAAGAGUUGAUGGAGGGU